RNAcentral lists this non-coding RNA (29 nucleotides) under Rattus norvegicus (Norway rat). Lineage: Eukaryota; Metazoa; Chordata; Mammalia; Rodentia; Muridae. The record is from RNAcentral.
UGCAUUGAAGAGGUUACAGGAUUAUGGCA